Molecule: long non-coding RNA, 355 nt
Organism: Silurus meridionalis
Lineage: Eukaryota; Metazoa; Chordata; Actinopteri; Siluriformes; Siluridae
Exons: 2
Source: RefSeq, a predicted model, not a curated record
GUAUACAACAGAUUGUUAAUUGAUGAAUUGAUUGAUUUAUUUAUAUUUGCAUGUUUGAGGAAACGAUUGCUUCAAAUCUGUUUUGUUGUAAAAUCAUGUAAAAUAUUUGGUGUUUUUUUUUUUUUUUCUCUUUUAGCAAGAAAACCACAGUGACCAAAGUGGUUGAGGUUCGCCAGCCUCCUCCCAAGCCCGAGCCCGUGGUGACCAAGCGCAUUCGCACCGUCGUCGAGGAAGUGGUCGAUGGCAAGGUCGUGUCUCGCACUGAGGACGUGGACGUCUCUGUCCUGAACAAAAAAUAGGAUCAUAUACCCACCCAGUGCAAUGCCAUGACCAUGUAACAUGCCAAGAUAAAUAA